RNAcentral lists this long non-coding RNA (298 nucleotides) under Capra hircus (goat). RNAcentral describes it as "lncRNA (ENSCHIG00000007789.1)". Lineage: Eukaryota; Metazoa; Chordata; Mammalia; Artiodactyla; Bovidae. The record is from RNAcentral.
CUUCUUUUGUCAAACUUCACAGAAAGAUGUGGCUUAAACUGAAGCUAAUUUUCAUAUGCAGACAUCCAAUGAAAAUGAACUGCAGCCACAAGGCUUUUCACAAGUGAAAGGUGACAUAAAACAUAUAAAUCUGCAGAAUGGGCCCAGAGAAUCCCAAAGCCUUCUUUGAUGCUAGAAAUGGUAGUGAGAGAAGAGCAGAGCAGAAACCAGUCUCUUGAUCAAGGUUAAAAGUGGGAAAAUAUAAUCUGUCCAAGAGGUCAAGAGAAGCAUCUUCAAGGUGAGUUUUGUGUGCACUUAU